AUUCCAGCUCCAAUAGCGUAUAUUUAAGUUGCUGCAGUUAAAAAGCUCGUAGUUGGAUUUCGGAUGGGAUUUGCCGGUCCGCCGUUCCGGUGUGCACUGGCCAGUCUCAUCUUGUUGUUGGGGACUAGCUCCUGGGCUUCACUGUCCGGGACUAGGAGCUGACGAGGUUACUUUGAGUAAAUUAGAGUGUUCAAAGCAAGCCUACGCUCUGAAUACAUUAGCAUGGAAUAACAUGAUAGGACUCUGGCUUAUCUUGUUGGUCUGUGAGACCAGAGUAAUGAUUAAGAGGGACAGUCGGGGACAUUCGUAUUUCAUUGUCAGAGGUGAAAUUCUUGGAUUUAUGAAAGACGAACUUCUGCGAAAGCAUUUGUCAAGGAUGUUUUCAUUG
Molecule: ribosomal RNA, 388 nt
Filed under: Tetraselmis sp.
Lineage: Eukaryota; Viridiplantae; Chlorophyta; Chlorodendrophyceae; Chlorodendrales; Chlorodendraceae
Description: partial small subunit ribosomal RNA
Rfam family: Eukaryotic small subunit ribosomal RNA
Source: RNAcentral